Lagenorhynchus albirostris (white-beaked dolphin) is the source of this 1485-nucleotide long non-coding RNA. RefSeq lists it as uncharacterized. The transcript has 3 exons. NCBI's taxonomy places the organism in Eukaryota, Metazoa, Chordata, Mammalia, Artiodactyla, Delphinidae. The record is from RefSeq and is a predicted model, not a curated record.
CGCAAUUGAUUCGCAGCAGACUGGUCCGAGUACGAAAAACGUCAUCUGGUCUUCACUGUGAAGACGACAGGGUCCCACGGGCUGGCUCUGUCCAGGCCGAAGACCCAGUCGAAGGCUGGGAGUCCAGGAGUGCCUGUCCGGUGUCGCCUGGCAGGGGCUGCGACGGAGCGGUUGACACAGAGAGGGUGAGCAACUUUGCCCAAGACUACACAGCUACUUAGCGGAAGAGGUCGGAUCCAUCUAUGAAGAGCACGGGACCUAGAAAAGGGCACCAAAAGAAAGAGAAGUGGUUCUUGUGUGUCCCGCCCACUAUGAGAAAAAUCUUCUGAUAUCCUGUUUUUAAGAGUCUUGAUUCAACUGAUUCUCUGGUAUCACACCUAACUCUGUGCCUGUCACCGUGUGGGUCCUGGGAUCACACAGGUGAACGUGACCUCGUCCCUGUGGUCAGCAAGGGGCAUCUGCCGUGUUCUUCCAUUCCUCUCCUCUGGCUGCCACUCAACCACAUCCACUGCUCUUUGCUGCCGAGGAAGCCUUGCACGCUCAGAUAAGGUCUGCCGGUGCCGAGGCUGCCAACUCCAAGCGCUUCUAAAUGUUCCAUCCCUGGGCAUCAGAAGCCUGCUGGGUGCCCUGCCAGCUGGGGAGGACAGCCUCUUCAAGUCCAGGCCUCACUGUAUCUGUUUUUCCUGGCCCUGCAGCAGAGCUGCCUUCCCCUCAAGUUUUACCCUGACCCCUUGGACAGCUCCCUCAGGUUUCUUUUCAUCACUUGUCAGCUUGCCCUAGUUGAAGAGACAGGGAGACAUUUUGUUUUCUCUGACCUCCUCUCCCUUCUCUCUGACCCCGCCCUCUCGCCCUCAAUUCUCCUUUCUCCCGCCUUCUCCCUUUUCCCAGUCACAGAACAAAAGCUUUCACUUUUAUGACUAGCAACAGAACUGGAUCGGUCUGUCUGACUUCGCAGUCGGAAAGGGAGAUGGUUUUUCCCAGCCACGUGAUCAGGGGGUGCGCGUGGACCAGCAGACCUUCUGCUCCUCACCCCCCUGCCCCCGCCCCGAAUGUGCUCGGGGUCCUGGCGCUACAACGUAAGAGUCUGUGUGCUGGAGAGCAAGUUUCCUGCCCGGCUAGACUGGAUCCAUCAAACUAGUUAGACUCAACCAAGAACUGGGCUUUUCGCAACUUGGCUGCCAUCACGGAGGCCAGCAAAUCCCCACAUUUUCUUUUUGGCCUUUCAACAGCCCCCAACAGAAGGCGUCACACUCCACAGUGAUGCCUGAUUUUGUCCAUUCCAAGAUGCCCAUCGUUUUCACAGCUUUACGUCUCAGGAGCCAGCAUGCGUCUUACAUUCGACGCCAGGAGAAAGCACUCUCGCCGUUUAACAUCGCAGCACGUCUUUCUUUGUUUCUUUCGUCCUGUCUUUCUUCAGGGCUAGGUAAAAGAACGGUACCUCUCACAAAAGAUGGCAUCUUAAAUUCGUGAACUACUAUAACAAUA